Molecule: small RNA, 2741 nt
Filed under: Pongo abelii (Sumatran orangutan)
Lineage: Eukaryota; Metazoa; Chordata; Mammalia; Primates; Hominidae
Description: processed transcript
Source: RNAcentral
GCUCCAAGACAUGGCUGCAGCUUCCCAGGGAGGAGCCCAGGGGCAUCUCCAACACUCAGCCUUUCCCUCUGGACCCUUUUAAAAGAUUCAACAGCACCGUCUCUCUCCACUUCCAUCCUAGAAUGUAGAAUCUGCAAAGUGCCUUUUGUAAAGUUUCUUAAGGGCCCCAUCCCAGCCAAAAUGAAUCCCAGGGAAGAAAAAGUAAAAAUAAUUACAGAGGAGUUCAUUGAAAAUGAUGAGGAUGCAGACAUGGGAAGACAGAAUAAGAACUCAAAGGUUCGAAGACAGCCAAGAAAGAAACAGCCACCAACUGCUGUCCCCAAGGAAAUGGUGUCCGAAAAGUCUCACCGUGGCAACCGGCAGGAGCCUGUGCAGGAGGAGCCCAAGACCCACCUUCUGAGUAUGACAGUCCGGAGAGGCCCACGGAGCUUACCUCCAAUUCCUUCAACUUCCAGAACAGGCUUUGCAGAAUUUUCCAUGAGGGGACGCAUGAGGGAGAAAUUGCAAGCUGCAAGGUCCAAAGCAGAAAGUGCAUUGCUGCAGGAAAUCCCCACUCCUCGGCCCAGACGCUUACGAAGUCCCAGUAAGAAAGAACUGGAGACUGAAUUUGGCACAGAGCCAGGGAAAGAGGUAGAAAGGACUCAACAAGAAGUUGAUUCCCAAAGUUAUUCAAGAGUCAAGUUCCGUGAUUCUGCACGAAAAAUCAAGCCUAAACCCCAGGUUCCACCUGGCUUCCCUUCUGCAGAAGAAGCCUAUAACUUCUUUACUUUCAACUUUGAUCCCGAACCAGAAGGAUCAGAGGAAAAACCAAAAGCAAGACAUAGAGCGGGAACUAAUCAAGAGGAGGAGGAAGGAGAAGAAGAACCACCUGCACAAGGAGGAGGAAAGGAAAUGGAUGAGGAAGAACUGCUUAAUGGUGAUGAUGCCGAGGACUUUCUAUUGGGCUUAGAUCACAUGGCUGACGAUUUUGUAUCAGUGAGACCUGCAGAUUAUGAAAGCAUCCAUGAUCGGUUGCAGAUGGAAAGAGAAAUGCUCUUCAUACCCAGUAGGCAGACAGUCCCUACAUAUAAAAAGCUUCCUGAGAAUGUACAGCCCAGGUUCCUGGAAGAUGAAGGCCUUUACACCGGGGUAAGACCAGAGGUGGCACGCACCAAUCAGAACAUCAUGGAGAACAGAUUGCUGAUGCAGGACCCCGAAAGAAGAUGGUUUGGAGAUGACGGCAGGAUCCUAGCUCUGCCAAACCCCAUCAAGCCAUUUCCUUCAAGGCCGCCAGUACUAACACAGGAGCAGAGCAGUAAGGCAGAGCUUGAAACACUGUAUAAAAAGGCAGUAAAAUACGUUCACAGUAGUCAGCAUGUGAUCAGAUCUGGAGACCCCCCUGGAAAUUUCCAGCUGGACAUUGAUAUUUCAGGGUUAAUCUUCACUCAUCAUCCCUGUUUUAGCCGAGAGCAUGUUUUGGCAGCCAAGCUGGCCCAGUUAUACGACCAGUACCUUGCAAGACACCAGAGAAACAAGGCGAAAUUUCUUACUGAUAAGCUCCAAGCUUUAAGAAAUGCUGUUCAGACUGGCCUUUAUCCAGAAAAACCUCAUCAGUCUCUCGACACCAUCCAAAAAACCAUCAAUGAGUAUAAAUCUGAAAUUCGACAAACAAGAAAAUUCCGUGAUGCUGAACAAGAAAAAGAUAGAACAUUGCUUAAGACCAUCAUAAAAGUUUGGAAAGAGAUGAAAUCCCUUCGAGAGUUCCAGAGAUUUACAAAUACUCCCUUGAAACUUGUUUUGAGAAAGGAAAAAGCUGACCAGAAAGCAGAUGAAGAAGCAUAUGAAGCAGAAAUUCAAGCUGAAAUAAGUGAACUGUUAGAAGAGCACACGGAGGAGUACGCACAGAAGAUGGAAGAAUACAGAACAUCGUUACACCAGUGGAAGGCCUGGAGGAAAGCGCAAAGGGCCAAGAAGAAGAAAAGGAAACAAGCAGCAGAAGAACAUCCCGAUGAUGAGAUUGCAGAGCCGUAUCCCGAGGAGGACCUUGUGAAGCCCAGCCCUCCAGAGCCCACUGAUCGGGCAGUGAUAGAGCAGGAGGUAAGGAAGAGAGCAGCCCAGAGCAGGAGGAGGCCUUGGGAGCCCACGCUGGUCCCGGAGCUAAGCCUGGCAGGAAGCGUAACACCCAAUGACCAGUGCCCCAGAGCAGAGGUCUCGAGAAGGGAGGAUGUAAAGAAGCGCUCAGUGUACUUAAAAGUGCUCUUCAACAACAAGGAGGUGUCCAGGACAGUCAGUCGGCCACUAGGAGCAGACUUCCGAGUUCACUUUGGGCAGAUUUUCAAUUUGCAAAUAGUCAACUGGCCGGAGAGUUUAACACUUCAGGUAAAACUAGAGAGUUGCCCAACUCUGCACUGGAAAGGAGAACUGGGGCAGCCUUCAGAUACGUGGUCACUGGACACAGCCCCUGUGAGGUCCCUGCCCUCCCUGUGGGGUCCACGUGGACUCUCUAUUCCAUCUGCUCUGGGGCUUCUGCUGAGGCUGAUGGCCUGGAACACUUGAAGAGCUCCUCUUCCUCUGUCCUCUUAGCGGUGUCAGUGGGGUCUGUUAUCCUGCUUCCUGAAUUUCAGCUAAUCUCUCCAUCUCAUCACCACUCACUGGGAUGCACAAUUAUUUGAGCCACUUAAACUAUGUACAUCAUCACAACUGGAAGACCAUUCAAUUUCAGAUAUGUUUAAAUGAUAAAGUCUAUUAUACUAUAUACCACU